UACGUAGGGGGCAAGCGUUGUCCGGAAUUAUUGGGCGUAAAGCGCGCGCAGGCGGCUCGAUAAGUCUGAUGUGAAAGCCCACGGCUCAACCGUGGAGGGUCAUUGGAAACUGUUGGGCUUGAGUGCAGGAGAGGAGAGUGGAAUUCCACGUGUAGCGGUGAAAUGCGUAGAGAUGUGGAGGAACACCAGUGGCGAAGGCGGCUCUCUGGCCUGCAACUGACGCUGAGGCGCGAAAGCGUGGGGAGCGAACAGG
RNAcentral lists this unclassified non-coding RNA (253 nucleotides) under Bacilli bacterium. RNAcentral's name for it is "contains 16S-23S intergenic spacer region". It matches the Rfam family "Bacterial small subunit ribosomal RNA", at positions 524 to 776 of the family's 1533-position model. The record is from RNAcentral. Lineage: Bacteria; Bacillati; Bacillota; Bacilli.